RNAcentral lists this ribosomal RNA (323 nucleotides) under uncultured eukaryote. RNAcentral describes it as "partial 18S ribosomal RNA". It matches the Rfam family "Eukaryotic small subunit ribosomal RNA", at positions 1470 to 1796 of the family's 1831-position model. The record is from RNAcentral.
CCCUUAGAUGUUCUGGGCUGCACGCGUGCUACACUGAUAUUGCCAAUAUGUCAUUCUUAUCCGAAAUGGAUUGGGUAAUCAAGUAAUGAAAUUUCAUGCUUGGAAUCGGUAAUUGCAAUUUUAUCGUGAACGAGGAAUUCCUAGUAAGCACUAGUCAUCAGCUAAUGUUGAUUAUGUCCCUGCCCUUUGUACACACCGCCCGUCGCUACUACUGAUUGGGUGUUCAAGUGAGAUGCUUAGACCCUUGUUACAUGGUUCAUUAUUGUGCUCCGAAAGGAAAAAGUUUCAAGCUUGAGUGUCUAGAGGAAGUAAAAGUCGUAACA